Molecule: long non-coding RNA, 3259 nt
Organism: Melospiza melodia melodia
Lineage: Eukaryota; Metazoa; Chordata; Aves; Passeriformes; Passerellidae
Exons: 3
Source: RefSeq, a predicted model, not a curated record
CGUGCGCCUGAAAUGGUUGGUUCCCAGAAGAGAAUUAGUUAGUUCCCGGUCCGUGUGGUGGCCGCACAACUGUUAGUUAGUUCCGUGUCCGUGUGAUGGUUCACAGCAUCCCCCGGCACCGCCAUUUCACGUCUGAGUUCAGGGAAGAAGGGGAAUUUGAAGUGGCUCGGCAGAAAGGACGUGCGAGCCGUGCGGACCUGCGGAUAACCCACAUGUGGGUGCUGCUGAAGGCAGGCCGCUCCUAAGGCAGCGCUCACCUUCCAAGAGUAACCUGGCCAUCUGUUCAAGGACAAUGAAGAGUGGCCUUGAAGUGGCAUCUGCCAGGGAUCUCAGCAGUCACAAAGGUAUCCUGUCUCAUCCUGUGAAUUGUGCCUGUCCAGCUUACCUAAGGAGUCCCUUUUGGAUCCACUGAUACUGCAACAACAAUCAACUCAAUCCCUGGAAAGGUCGUGGAGGCCCUCAUUUUGGAGGUCAUCUCUAUUCACAUGGAUGACAAGAAGGUGAUCAGGAGUAGUCAGCAUGGAUUCACUAGAGGCAGGUCAUGUUUGACUAACCUGAUUGCCUUUUAGUGAGGCCUUCAACAAGGUCUCUCAGAAUAUCCUCACAGACAAAGUCAGGAAUUGUGAACUGGGAAGGUGGACAGUGAGGUGCAUUGAGACCUGGCUGAAGAGCAGAUCCCAGAGGGCUGUAAUCAGUGGCACAGGAUCUAGUUGGAAGCCUGUCACCAGUGGUGUCCCCAAGGUUCAGUACUGAGCCCAGUAUUGUUUCACAAGUUCAUAAGGGACUUGGAUGAAGGAGCAGAUGCCUCCUCAGCAGGUUCACUGACAACACAAAGCUGGGAGGAGUGGCUGAUACCCCAGAGGGCUGCACAGCCCUUGAGAAGGACCUGGACAGGCUGGAGAGAUGGGCAGAGGGGAACUGUCUGAAAUUCAGCAAGGGCAAAUGCAGGGUCCUGCACCUGUGGAGGAAUAACCCCAGGCACCAGCACAGGCUGGGGGCCAACGUGCUGAGGAGCAGCUCUGUGGAGAAGGACCUGGGGAUCCUGGUGGACAACAAAGUGUCCAUGAGCCAGCAGUGAGCCCCUGUGGCCAAGGAGGCCAAUGGAAUCCUGGGGUGCAUUAGGAGGGCAGUGCCAGCAGGUAAAGGGAGCUGAUCCUGCCCCUCUGCCCAGCCCUGGUGAGGUGCACUUGGAAUGCUGUGUCCAGUUCUGGGCUCCUCAGGACAAGAGAAAUGAGUAAGGACUGGGGCAUCUCUAAUGAGGAAAGGCUGAGGGGGCUGGGCCUGUUCAGCCUGGAGAAGAGGCCCUGAGAGGGGACAUCAUCAAUGUCUGUGUGUCUGAAGGAGGGGUGCUAAGAGGAUGGAGCCAGGUUUUGCUCAGUGGUGCCGAGCAAUAGGACAGGAGAAUGGCAGAAACUGAUGCACAGCAAGUUCCACCUGAGCAUGAGGAAGAGCUUCUUUACUGUGUGGGUGACUGAGCACUGGAACAGAUUGUCCAGAGAGGUUGUGAAGUCUCUGAUGCAAUCCUGUGGUCUAGGAUGAUCCUGCUUGAGUAGGGAGCUUGGACCAGAUGACCCACUGUGGUUCCUUUCAACCUGCCCCAUUCUGGGGAUUCUGUGAGGGAAGCAGCACCUCCUGUCUCAGAAAUAAAGGGGAAAAGGAUAAAACUUCACACAGAAGAGUUUUUUGUCCUCUCAUGACAUCACACUUCUAUCAGGAGCCCUUUCUCAGUCUCUCCAUGUUCUUGUGUGCUGUGCAGGUAUAUACAGCCUGUUCUGCUGCAGCAAAGGAAGAGGAGUUACUCACUGCUGAAUUUGUCAAGGCAAUGUUACAGAGCUGUUAUUUCCCUGUGUAUCACAUAUGUUUUCAUGACUGGCACAUUGCUGACAUACUUCUGUGUCAGUCAUGAAGACUAACACCUGGUAUUUCCAUCCCAUGGUAUAUGCAAGAGGAAUAAACAUUCAGUGGGACGGACUCACCACCUUCCCCACGAAGUCUGGCAGUGUAGGGAUGUGCACAGAGGCAGUUUUUAUAAAACAGCUGACAUGCUGCAAGUUUACAUCCUACAGUUUGCAUCCUGCAGUUUCCUAUUCAUCUGCUCAAAUCAAAAUGCCGAGUCUUGCAAUCCAUCCUUAGAAUAGGGCAAGCUGAGUAAUCAUACAGCUGCUUGCUCAGAGGUGGCUGAGUAGGAGAACUUGCACAGGAAGAAUAUAAGCUUGCCUCCACAGCUGUGAAGUUCAAUAAAUUUAGCAGACUGCAAACUACUUAUGAAUUCAAUUUGUUAGCAAGGACACUUUUUUUUUUUUACUAUUGAAGGCUUUCAUAUUUUCCCACAUGAUCACAAGUUCUUAAAGAGGGGUUGAGGUAAGAAAUAAUGUAUGUUAUCAAUUCUUUAUAUUGAAUUUGGCAGAUGCCAUGAAAUAAGGAAUUUUAUAAAUAAGAUGAUAUUAAUUUACUGUACCAAUAGAAUGUUUAAUCAGAGUCAUUGUAUGCCACACACAUUUUAAAAAUUUCAAACAAGUACAGAAAUUCAAAGGCAUUAAUAACGGGUUGGUCUGCCAAAGUCUGCCAUAAUCAGCCUGAAUUUGUGUCAAAAUUGUUUUCCAUAAAAAUGAGGAAAAAAAUGGAAAAGCUAAAUUAAGAUAUAAGGCCAAAGAAUAUAUUCAAAUUCAAAUUUACCUUGCUUUCACUGAUGGAGAGUGGAUCAGUUCUACAAAAAUAGUAAAUUUUGUAUUACUUUAAAUUAUCAUUAAAAAGAUUGCUGUUGAGUAUUUUACACAAUUUAAAUCAGUCUGCUUGUAUGAGAUGUAUAUACAGUGUCUAAAAUAAUGUUCUUAACAUACUGGAUUUGGUUGUUUUCACUGCAUAAAUAUUCUAAUACUUAAAGAGGGACCCUUAUUUGCUGAUGUUUCUGAUUUUUAAACACACUCUAGGCAUUUUUCAUAGGUUUUUUUCUAACAUAGCUUCUCUCUUACCAAAAAUGUGUACUAUUUAAAGAAAGCAUGACUUCUGAAAAUGUUGCUUUAUUUAAAGUUAUCAGAUUAAAAAGAUCAGUUUUCAAGGAAGUUUAUCUGUUGCAUCAGAGUGCUCAAUGGAGACCAUGUGUUGUGUCCUGGAUGAGGAGAAGACUCACUUCUCAAACAGAGGAGACACAUCCUGUAACAUGAUGGAGCAAAGUGCUGCUUGUAUUAAAAUUAGAGCCUCAAAGUUUUCUGCAGCCUUACUGCAGCUGGAAUGAACAAAGUCCAAGGGUGAGGGAAAG